UACGUAGGGUGCAAGCGUUGUCCGGAAUUAUUGGGCGUAAAGAGCUCGUAGGCGGUCUGUUGCGUCGGCUGUGAAAACCCGGGCUCAACCCCGGGCCUGCAGCCGAUACGGGCAGACUAGAGUUCGGCAGGGGAGACUGGAAUUCCUGGUGUAGCGGUGAAAUGCGCAGAUAUCAGGAGGAACACCGGUGGCGAAGGCGGGUCUCUGGGCCGAUACUGACGCUGAGGAGCGAAAGCGUGGGGAGCGAACAGG
Molecule: ribosomal RNA, 252 nt
Filed under: uncultured bacterium
Lineage: Bacteria
Description: partial 16S ribosomal RNA
Rfam family: Bacterial small subunit ribosomal RNA
Source: RNAcentral